Molecule: long non-coding RNA, 5229 nt
Filed under: Medicago truncatula (barrel medic)
Lineage: Eukaryota; Viridiplantae; Streptophyta; Magnoliopsida; Fabales; Fabaceae
Description: lncRNA gene47504
Source: RNAcentral
CUCAUUUAGGAAGGAAGUUAGUGGGAGGGUUAUUUCAUCGGUUACUUCAUUCAUUCCAUUCAUUUUUACUGAUUCUACACUUUGAAGAAAAUAGAGAGAAACUUAGAGAGAGAAUCAUAGAGAGUUUUGAAGGAGGAAGGAAGGAGAACUAAAGAUCCACCCUAAGGACUAACAAUUAGACUUAUCACCAUGUAAGAAUAUUUCCACUUUUGAUUUUGUUUCUCAUUUUUAUCAAUUUAUUUUGGAAAUCAGUGCUGUUCUAUGAAAAUAAAAUUUAUUUUUCUCUUAUGAGAUUCGAUUUGCUAGUUAUUCCAAUUAAGUUAAGAUUCUCUUCUUAAAAUUGGAAGUCAAAUUUUUAUGAUAAAAUAAAGUUGUUUUGAAUUUCUCGUGAAGGAAAGAGAUUGGUAGUAGUAUAAUAUAUGCAGGUUGUCUUUUAGAGAGGAUAGAUAUAAUUUUGAUUUAGUGAAUUUGAGUCAAACAUUUUGUUGAAGCUAUAACCAUUAUUGCAUUUAUUCCAAUUGGAAAAAAAAAAUAUAUCUUAAUUCUUCUAUCUAUUCAAUACUUAGAAUAUGUAUAAGUUCAGCUUUUUGUGUACCCAGGAUGUUUGAUAGUACUAGUUCUUUACUUCAUACCUCAAUUUGGAAUUAUUAGAGGAUCGAAGGCUUCUAUAUACUAAUAUUAAUUAAUUAAUAAGAAAAGAAAUGUCCCUUGAAUUUACCAUUUUGCCCCUAUAAGGGGCAAUUUGGUAAUCUACUAAUUGUUGGUUGAGUUUUUUUUUUUUUAACAAUGGCCAUUUUUGCCCCUAAUCAAUUUUUUUUAAUUAUUUUCUAAUUUUUAUAUUUUUAAUAACUUUUAAUUAUUUUCCAAUUUUUAUAUUUUUAACUUUUUCAAUUUUUUCUCCCAAAUUCAGUUUACAUUGCCGUUAUGGAAUAUUAAGGUAUCGUUUGACCCGACAUUUUUCAAACUUCUCUACAUUUUUAAGGAGAAGUUAGGUCAAAGAUAAUAUCAACUAAAUACUUACUAAAAAAAGUACUUUUAGAACAAAUAGGUUAAAUCUAGGGUUAAUAUUGCAUUAAAGGGUUAAUAGGCUUUUACCCUCCGCCAUUUAGGAGUCUUUUGGUUUACCCCCUAUCAAAAAAAACUAGGAGAUUCCCCCUUGCAAAAUGAAGAUUCCAUGGUUCACCCCCCUAAAGUCAGUUGUCAGCAUCUUACUAUGUAAAUUAGCUUAUGUGGCAGGCUGAUUGUAUAAUAAUUAAUUGACACAUCAUAAUUUUUAUAUUUUUAUUUUUAAAAGUACAUUUAAAAGUGAAAUACCUAAAAUAUCCCUAAUGAAAAAUAAGAAAUCUCAUUUCCUUUUCAUUCUCUUCCAGCGUAAAUCCUUUCUCUCUUCUUCCUUAUUUUCUUUCUUCUCCUAUCUCCCUCUGUUCUUCCAUUUCUUCUUCCUUCUAUUCUCUCUUCUCUUCUCUCACAGACUCACACCUUUUCUUCUCCUUUCUCCCCUUUUUGCUUCAACAACACAUAGUAACAACACACCAUAACAACAACACAUCUUCUCAAAUCAACACAACAUCAACAACAACUCACAACAACAACAACACACAUCAACAAUCCAAAAAAUUCAGAAGAUUGCUGUUGGGUUUUGAUUUUUUUUUUCUUCAGAUUUUUCAAUCUCCCUCUUCUAUCUUCUUUUUCGAAUUAGCCUUUUUUUGGAUUAACCGUACCCUUUUUUUUUUCUUUGAUUCUCCUUCUCCUAUCUUUUAAUGGAAUUAGAAGAAAAACAAGAAAUUAGUAACAAAUUCACUUGUUCUUGAGUUUCUAAGAACAGUCUUCAUACACAGAAAUUAAAAAAACCAGAAAUCUAAAAACCUCUUUCUUAUAUCAACCUCAAUCUCCUACCAUAUUCUUUUUAAGAUUUCUUUUUGAUUUUUUUUUCCAGAUCAACAACAAGAGGGGGGAGAGAGAGAGAGAGAGAGAGAGAGAGAGAGAGAGAGAUAGAGCGAAUAAGAAGAAGGGAAAUGGGAGAAGAGAGGGGUACGGGAGAGAAGAGAGGGGAGUUGGGUUGAAGAAGAGGGAAGAAAAGAAUGAAGAGAAGAGAGAAGGGUACGGUGGAGUGGAGAGAAGAGAGGGAUGAAAGUUUUUUUUUUUAAUAAAAGAAAUAUAAAUUGAAUAAACAAAAAUAUAAAUAAUUUUUGUAAAAAAAAUAGAAAAAAAUUAUAAAAUUCCAACUCAGCACGCCAAAUCAUCUAAUUUAUACAGAUAGAUGCUAACAGUUGGCUUUAGGGGGUGAACCAAGGAAUCUUCAUUUUGCAAGGGGAAAUCUACAAGUUUUUUUUAUGAUAGGGGGUAAUCCAAAAGACUCCCAAAUGGCAGGGGGUAAAAGCCUAUUAACCCUAAAUUAAAUCUAAGGUUAAUAUAGUAAUGUCGUACCCCAAAUUUUGACCAUUUUUUUUCUAUUCUUACCCAUUUUAUUAGGUUACUUUAAAGUACCUCAUCUUUGUUCCGAUUGCGGACCCUCUUCUCUCCCUUUAUUUUCUUUUUAUUUUCAUUAUCUAAUUUCCACCUUUUAUUAAUUUUAAAGUUAGUUACCUUUUAAUAUUUAAUAAUGUUUAUUUUCCAUUUUUGUCCAAUGUUGUCAAUAAGUCCGAAAAUUUCCAGCAAGGGUCCAAAAAAAUUUCUUCGUGCACCUCAUGUUCAGGCAAAUUCAUAGGGUCAAAUUUUUGUUGCCAAAUCCAGUAACGCAGUAGUAACCUCUGCAAGUUAUUUCCUUAUUCUAUUCAACCCUAAUGCUAUAAAAGCAAGCCUGUAAAAUACAGAAGAAAAAGAGGAAAAACAUAGAGAAAGCCAGAGACAACAGAGACACACAUAAGCAGCCGGGAAUCAAAUCAACCACGAGGUCAGACUCGACUCACAACAGCCAAACCCUCAAGCCAGAAUUACACCGAGAGCCAACAACAUCACAGACUACCAACAUCAAGGGAACGACGCCGUACAUCAACCGAAACAGCCAUCACAGAACCGGCCAGAAAGAAACCAAAUCGAAAUCAAAAGGUAGUAUUUCAUUAACUUUUAGAUCUAGGCUCGUAUAGUUAUUUUAUGAGAUUUGUGAGUUUAGAAUCGAGUAUAGGAGGAAAGAACAAGUAGAAAGAACCAAAAAAAUUUAAAAAAUAAGUUGUUAGGGUUCCGGCGCGGUGGUGCCGCCGCACUGGCAGGCCAACCGCCGCCGGAACCCCAUCCUUUCCAUCGGAGAAGAUGAAGAAAAUAGGAGAGAGAAGGGAGAAAAAAACGUGUGAGGAGAGAGAAGGAAAAUUGGAAAUGAAUGAAUUUUGUGAACUACAACCUAUAUAUAGGCCUCUUUGAUCCCAUACGCGUGGGUGUACGGCCUUACCAUGCACCCAUGCACCCUUGUCCUUUGAAUCUUUGAUCUUGUGGUCUAUGUUGCUCCUCUGCAUGAUUGAACCAAAGCUGUCCGAUCUUAAUAUGUCUGAUCUUAAUCAUGCGGCUAAUAUUUAACCUGAUUACCCGCUCCAGUUACCAGUAAACCGACCUGGUUCGGAUCUUUUUUUUUAAGCCCAGUUCCUCUUUCAAUUCCUGCACCCCCUGUUUACUGUUGCACCCCUCUCCCUUGCAUUUUUAUUCAUAUUUUCAUGCAUAUUUCCUUUACGUCUUUUUAUCGAAUUCUUUUAUUCUGCAUUAUUUCUUUUAUUAUUUACCUAUGUCAUUUACUUUAUUGCAUAAUCGUUUAUAAUGUAUUUAGGCUUUUAAUAUAAUCCAUUUAUUCCGUAACUUAGAAUGUAAAUUAGGUUUAAAUGUAAAUUAUUUAUUUCCGUCAUUUACUUUCUCGCAGACCAUAGCAUGUAUAAUAGGUUUUUAUGUAAUAGUUGUAGGUGUGUGUAUGCUUUUCUCUUUAUGUUUCUAGAUUAGGUUAAUGGUCCUUGUGGUGGUCAAACGCCACCAUAAAGGUACCUACGCUUUUAUCUUUUCUUGCUCCGUUAGUGUUAAAUUUAGUAUAGCUAUCAUUCAAAAACAACAAAAACAUGCAAAUAACAAAAAUCACAAAAACAUUUUUCAUAAUAAACCUUGAUCCUAAAUCAAGUGAUCGUCUCUUUUUCAUUUUGUUUUCUUGAUCAAAUAUCAAUCAAUUUAAUCAUACUUCGAGUCAUCUUUCCUUUUAAUAAAAAAAACACAAACAAACUCUUAUUUGCCACUUCGCUUUUCUUUUAAAACCAUUUUCAAAACUAAUAAAAAAUACAAAACCAAUCAAAUGGUAUUUCUACCCCGAACUACGAGGUUUUGAUCCCUUACGGGUACGUAGGCAUAGGACUUUGUCCUUCCAAAUCAAUAAAAAAUGUAGAUAAUUAGGUCUUUAUUUUUCCACUUUAAUUCUUUCUUUUCAAAAAAAUAAGCAAGCAAGUCAUAGCACAUUAAUUAAAUAAAAUCAAGAUGUUCUGGUAGAGUACUACGAAUAUUUAGGGUGCUAACACCUUCCCUAAAUAUAACCAACCCCCGAACCUUAAAUCUCUCAAUAUGGGGUGUUUUGAACUUUUUCCCCUUUUUCUUAAAAAUUAAAUGUUCAGUCGUGAAAUAAAUUAGUGAGUCAAAAGCUAAUCAAAUAGCCUUGAUCUCCGAAAAAUGACGCGACAAGUAAAGUCACACGAAAAAAUUAGGUUAAAUCUAGGGAUAAUAUUGCAGGUUAACAUUUAGAAAUAAGAGAUGUCAUUUUGCAUAAAUUAAAUCUAGGGUUAAUAUAAUUUGUUUAGUAAAAUUAAAGAGAAAAAUUAGGAGAUAUUUGUUUAUUUUGAUUUCCCUAACAAUUAACGUUAACAUUUUGAUCAAAUUAAACAUGGUUAAUUAAUUAAAUAGGAUUAAUACAGUAAAAUUAAGCAAAGAAGUUAGGUUAAUUCUAAGGCAAAAUUUUGCGUCCGGGUUAACUUUAAGAAAUAAAAUAAAAUAGGUUAACUAUAGCAAGACGGUUUAACAUUUAUAAGCAAGAGAUUAAGUUAAGUAUAGCUAGACUGGUUAACGGUUAUUCAUUUCCAAAAAAAACAGCAUAUAAUUGGGAACAUACUUUUAUUUUACUUUAGAUAAACAUUAAAUGCAAAGGUGUGGAGGGAAAAAUUAGAAAUGACAUUUUGCAUAAAUUAAAUCUAGGGUUAAUAUAAUAAAGUCACACGAAAAAAUAGGUUAAAUCUAGGGUUAAUAUUGCAUCACGGGUUAACAUUUAGAAAUAAG